This is a non-coding RNA of Zonotrichia albicollis (white-throated sparrow), 4713 nucleotides long. The record is from RefSeq and is a predicted model, not a curated record. Lineage: Eukaryota; Metazoa; Chordata; Aves; Passeriformes; Passerellidae.
AAUUUUAUUAACCACCAUACUGCAAACAUAGUAUACAUACUCUAAAGGGAAACGGGGGAAAUCUUGUAACUUUAUUCCAAAUAAGAGAUUACCCAACAAGUGUACUCUUUAAUUGUUAGUAUUCAUUGCCACUCUUAGACAGGAAGCGCCGCAGCUAAAAUCUUUAGAAGCAUCUGCAGUAUGUUCAGAGCAAACCCUUUCUGGUAGGUAUGAAAGGUUAUCAAGAACAGCAUUCUCACAUAUGAUUAAAUACAGUACCUUAAACUGAGGUACCUGAGUGGGGAUUCAUAUUUGACAGAUUUAAAUGUGGGCAUUUAAUUGCCCAUGUUACCUGGGCAAUACAGGGGAAACUGAGAGAGCAGGAAUAUUUUGCUAUAAAUUUGUAAGUGAGAAGCACUGUGCCACACAGUUGUGAUUUGAUAAAGCAUCUCUAUUGGUGCUUAAAGCUGACCUUUAAAUACUUUGCUGCCUGAGGAGACUGUGGUGACACAGAAGCAUAAAAUGAUAUAAUUUUAUUUUUCUAGUAUGUAAAAAUAAGCCAAAUACUGCCAUUUUUCAGAUGCAGAACCAUUUCUUUCAUUAAUUACUCAAACCUUCAAAGGGUUUAAACAUGAAGGACUCCUGUCUAUUGCACUAAGCUAUCUAUGAAUGAAAGUAACCUAGCAUGAAGGUAAGACUGCAGUCUGUGUUAUUUGUAUUGUGGUCAUGUGGUAAUAGUAUCAAAUGCUAUUUGAUUAAAAGUUGUUCAAAUGUAAUGUGCUGAAAUAUGAAAUACAUCUCUUGCUAUAUUAAAAAGGCCAUUUAAAGGCAUUUAAAAGGGUUUUUUUUCUGUUCACUUGGACAAAUCAGUCCUCAGAUACCCUUAGCAGGUCUAAGUUAUAAAAAAGGCUUUAUAUAGCCUGCUAUGAUGAUAGCAAUGUAUGCAUAAUAAUAAUAAAUAAUCAUCAGUAAUAAUAAUAUUGCUCACAACUGAAGAAAUAAAUUAUUUCUGUUUGAAGAGCUUGUAUUGGCAAUAGUAUUGCUAGUUUAAAAAGCUGUUGAAAAUUAAUAGAUUGAAAUAUAUUUUUCAUAUUUUGAAAUACUUGAAGGAUGACUAGUAUUAAUUUUUUUCCACUCUCCCCUUCAGAAUUCUUUGAAAGAAAGAACCACUCCAUGAAGACUUGAAAACAUUGCUGCCAAGAAGAACAAAUGUUUCCUGCUCUUCAGUUCUUGACAUUUUAUCAUCUUAUCCAGCAAUUCAAUUAAUCAUUUGCCCAACUCUGAGCACAGUAACAGUCCUACUGACAGCCUGCUAUAAACUGUUGGUAAGUCUGAUGGAUCGUUUAAAACUGCAAGAACCCAGAAAAAAUAGGUUGUGUUAAUUUUAAAAGGUUGAUAUCAAAAACAGUGUUUUCAAUGGACAGACACCACUUAGCUAGCAGAACCUGCUGUCCAACUCAAAAAACCAUGAGAAUGUUAAUGAUGUUGCCCUGAAUAAACAAAAUGUGAAAAUACAUCUUUAAGCAAAAAAUUAAUUUUAACAGUGAAUUUUUCACAAUAAACUGUAAGGGUUACAUUAUGUCUAUAAAUUCAGCUGAAAUCCAUCCAGCUUCUAAAGAGGAAUGCAUAAGUCACUCUGUGUAACAAAUAUAGCUGACCUGAAUUUUUUCUCCCCCUUCUGCUAUUUUCCACCUUGUGUAGCUAUUUGCCACCUGUCCUGGAUACCACCUUUACACAGUUAAAUCCAAAAGUGCAAGUGACCACUAGGACUGACACUUUCCUGGGAAGACCCUAGAGUAAGGCAGUCAAGCAGCCUGCUGAACCAAGUGCUCCCCAACAGAAGGAUAGCACUGCCAACAAGCUCAUCAACUCUAAGGGGUGAAGUAAUUGCUCACAUUCUGCAGCACUUUCAUCAUGUUUCCCCGGUCCACGUACUCCAUCACAAGUAGCUGUGGAUGUCGAAAUCUCUUGACUGGGGUGAGAUCUGGGCAGAGCUGAAAGAGCCUUGGAACAAGAAGGAUCAAGAUCCACUCCACUACUUCUUGUACAGUGCUAGCCUGGAUUAUGAGCACAGGCCUGAGGAUAUGGCGGCAUUCAUUUAGUAAGAAGGUAAGUCUUACUAUGCCUAAUAACGAUUAGAGGAAAUUGUUCUUGUUUUGUUUGUUGUGGUAGGGGUUUUUAUGGGUGGUUGUUUUUGGGGUUUUUUAAUGAAGAUUUUUGUUUGUUUGUUUUUGGGUUUUUGUUUUUCCUUUACAGCCAAUCAAAUGGCAGGCAACAAACGACUCAUAGCAGUGCCAUUGCUGCUUUCAUAGCUGAGCUUUCAUCUCCCUGAAAGUUUUUGAUGAUGGUCCUCUGGAUUUACUGGUGUGGUCAUACUGACUUUUGUGCAGAUGGGGUGGAUGUCACAUGUACAAGAGCCUAAAUUUAGCCAUCAGAGUGAAACAUGACAUAAACUAACAUCUUGCUUCUUUACCUGGGUCUCCCUUCCAAGAAUAAGUUUGAAGUCACUUAUGUAUGUUAAUUUUUCCAUGCUAACAGCAAUUAUGCAGCUAGGUAGUAGUUAUAAGAUUGGCACGUGCUUUUCUUGUGAAUGCAAAGUAGAUGUGCAUUUUUGAGUGGCGAAUCUCCAAAGCUGCAUUAAUACCACUGAUAGCUUGGGACUGGCAUUUGAUACCAUAUAACCUGGCAAAAAAUAUCUCUGCCCAAAACUGCAAUAGAUGCAGAACCUUGUUCCUAUUUACAAUGUUAAUUACCUGUUCCUUCCUAGCAAGCCACAUGUAGUCACUAUGACCAAAAGUCUUGGAAAUUCAAAGAAAGUUAGCAACUUCUAAAAUCAUCAUGUGUCUGUUGAAGUGAGCUGAGUAACAUUCAAGAAGAGGGAAUUUUCUUAUUACAUGGGAGGGAACCUUCCCCCUUGGGCAUGGUAAGAUGCCACUGCUUUUUUUUGGUGCUCUUAUUAAGUAAUGAGGUACUCUGAAUAGAAGCUGCCUGAUCUAAUGACUUAUUUCAAAUCAAGAGUUUUGUUUUGGGUUUUUUUGGUUUUUUUUUUUUUUUGGUAGAAUGAAUAUCACAGGAAAACAAUGUCUAGCUAGGCUUUAAAGCAAAGACUACUUAUUCUGGUAUGCUAUUUAAUAUCAGAUAUUGGCUUAGGAUAGCUUGAAAUAUCAAAUUAUAAAAAAUCAAGGACAGAACCUCAAAGACUCAGGUUCACUCCAACCUUACUGCUUCUUAUUGAAAUACAGGGUUAUUUAUAUGUACUUAGGACACACCAAUUCAUGAAUUAAGUAUCUGUGGUUAAGAGAACAGAAAUUUUGUAGCUUAAUUCAGCCAACCCUUACAGAAGCUAUGCAUACUUCUAGUGGUUAAUUUAUGUUCUGUGAAGUAGCUGUCAUCUGUGUACUUGAUUCAUUACAAAGCAGUUUUUUCUGUGUACUAUUCUGAUCAUUUGUAUUCAGUUGGGUUCAUAUAUACCAAGUACCAACAUGUGUUAUGAAAAUUUUUAAUACCACUUUCUAGAAGAGAGAAAUUUCUGUCCACCAGUAUGGCUGGGUAUUCUCUAGAAGAGGAUAGUACAGCUGUAAGUGGCUUUGUGGCAUUUUUCUUUUUAACACCAUGGUUAUGUCCUCUCCUUUAAUGCCUAAAGGGCAUAUAAAUUCACAAGGAUCAUAACCUGGACAUUAGCUCAUCAUGUCAUAUUCCUAAUCACUGUUCAAAAGUGCUUUGUUCAGUUCUAACGAUUUGUAACUGAUCUGAUACAGUUAGAAAUCUGUAAUGACGUGACCGGCAUGGUUAAGGAGGAGGGCUGAGCACAUUAGCACAGUAAUAUGAAAAAACAUGGAGCCUUUGUAGUCUAAUGAUGCUCCCAGCACCUAAGUUCUUAAGAGGUGCUAUAAACUUUAAUUGGAGAAAAUUAGCACCUUUACAAGUAGCAAAAUUCGUGGCCACUGAGUUAUCAGUCAGUAAUGGAAAGGAACAAAGAACAGAAGCCAAAGCUGGUAUACCCAAAGGACCAAGAGGAGACAAGCAGAAGGGCUGCUACAGGUGAUAACAGAAAUAUUGCCUGUGUCAAUGAUGAUUAGGUAUCUCAGGGUAUCUCAGAUCUGUUGCUGUAAAUGUCAUAACCCACUCCAUCUAAACCUUUCCCUUCUGCUCAGAUUUUUCACCGGAUGCAUUUUUUCACCAAGGAAGGGGUUUUUCCCCCCCUUUUUUCUCUUGGAAAUAGCAAAGAAAAUACCUGUGUCAGGCCGGCAGCAGUUAACAGAAAGGAUUCCACGGGAAGGGGAGGAGAAGCCAGUUCAAGGGAAACAGGUGUUUUGCAACAGAAGUUUCCACAGGAGCAGAGGCAGCGUGGGAAGAGGAAAGGAUGGGAUCUGUGCAGUAGCCAGUACCGGUGCAAAGCUGUUACAGUCGGUUCUGUCACAGAAGCGAUUCCGUACGGGAAUCGGGAAAGGCUGUCUGGGCUGCCACACCGGGCCGCAGCUGCCGGAGACGGGCGCUCCCGCGCGGCCUGGCCGUAGCCAGAGGCGCCUACUCCCCGAGGAGCCGGGAAGCCCUAAAGCACAGCUGCUCUGGCCUAGUUCCUCGUUGGCCGAUUUGCCAUAUCGCCCUUCUCCUCCCGGCGGCUUCCUGCUGCCGCCUCCUCUCGUCCGCACCGCUCCCCCGCCCGGCGCUUCCCCUUCCCCGUGAGCCCCUCCACGGCGGUGCGGGAUGGGACGGAGCGCUGUACCGACACCG